CUGCGUACGGCUCAUUACACCAGCCUUAAUUUACUUGACCUUGACAACCUACUUGGAUAACUGUGGUAAUUCUAGAGCUAAUACAUGCACCAAAGCUCCGAUCCUCGCGGAGAGGAGCGCAUUUGUUCGCCACAAAACCAAGCGCCCAUCUGGGCGUCCAGUGCUGAACCAGAACAACUCAGCUGAUCGCACGGUCUUGUACCGGCGACGUGUCUUUCAAGUGUCUGCCUUAUCAACUUUCGAUGGUAGUGUACCUGACUACCAUGGUUGUGACGGGUAACGGAGGAUAAGGGUUCGACUCCGGAGAAGGGGCCUGAGAAAUGGCCACUACGUCUAAGGAUGGCAGCAGGCGCGCAAAUUACCCACUCUCAACGCGAGGAGGUACUGACGAGAAAUAACGAGACCGUUCUCAUACGAGGCCGGUUAUUGGAAUGGGUACAAUUUAAA
Molecule: ribosomal RNA, 447 nt
Filed under: unidentified nematode Sourhope farm
Lineage: Eukaryota; Metazoa; Nematoda
Description: SSU rRNA
Rfam family: Eukaryotic small subunit ribosomal RNA
Source: RNAcentral